UGUUUCGGCAAGGGGGUCAUCCCGACUUACCAACCCGAUGCAAACUGCGAAUACCGGAGAAUGUUAUCACGGGAGACACACGGCGGGUGCUAACGUCCGUCGUGAAGAGGGAAACAACCCAGACCGCCAGCUAAGGUCCCAAAGUCAUGGUUAAGUGGGAAACGAUGUGGGAAGGCCCAGACAGCCAGGAUGUUGGCUUAGAAGCAGCCAUCAUUUAAAGAAAGCGUAAUAGCUCACUGGUCGAGUCGGCCUGCGCGGAAGAUGUAACGGGGCUAAACCAUGCACCGAAGCUGCGGCAGCGACGCUUAUGCGUUGUUGGGUAGGGGAGCGUUCUGUAAGCCUGUGAAGGUGUGCUGUGAGGCAUGCUGGAGGUAUCAGAAGUGCGAAUGCUGACAUAAGUAACGAUAAAGCGGGUGAAAAGCCCGCUCGCCGGAAGACCAAGGGUUCCUGUCCAACGUUAAUCGGGGCAGGGUGAGUCGACCCCUAAGGCGAGGCCGAAAGGCGUAGUCGAUGGGAAACAGGUUAAUAUUCCUGUACUUGGUGUUACUGCGAAGGGGGGACGGAGAAGGCUAUGUUGGCCGGGCGACGGUUGUCCCGGUUUAAGCGUGUAGGCUGGUUUUCCAGGCAAAUCCGGAAAAUCAAGGCUGAGGCGUGAUGACGAGGCACUACGGUGCUGAAGCAACAAAUGCCCUGCUUCCAGGAAAAGCCUCUAAGCAUCAGGUAACAUCAAAUCGUACCCCAAACCGACACAGGUGGUCAGGUAGAGAAUACCAAGGCGCUUGAGAGAACUCGGGUGAAGGAACUAGGCAAAAUGGUGCCGUAACUUCGGGAGAAGGCACGCUGAUAUGUAGGUGAAGCGACUUGCUCGUGGAGCUGAAAUCAGUCGAAGAUACCAGCUGGCUGCAACUGUUUAUUAAAAACACAGCACUGUGCAAACACGAAAGUGGACGUAUACGGUGUGACGCCUGCCCGGUGCCGGAAGGUUAAUUGAUGGGGUUAGCGCAAGCGAAGCUCUUGAUCGAAGCCCCGGUAAACGGCGGCCGUAACUAUAACGGUCCUAAGGUAGCGAAAUUCCUUGUCGGGUAAGUUCCGACCUGCACGAAUGGCGUAAUGAUGGCCAGGCUGUCUCCACCCGAGACUCAGUGAAAUUGAACUCGCUGUGAAGAUGCAGUGUACCCGCGGCAAGACGGAAAGACCCCGUGAACCUUUACUAUAGCUUGACACUGAACAUUGAGCCUUGAUGUGUAGGAUAGGUGGGAGGCUUUGAAGUGUGGACGCCAGUCUGCAUGGAGCCGACCUUGAAAUACCACCCUUUAAUGUUUGAUGUUCUAACGUUGACCCGU
Molecule: ribosomal RNA, 1343 nt
Filed under: Escherichia coli
Lineage: Bacteria; Pseudomonadati; Pseudomonadota; Gammaproteobacteria; Enterobacterales; Enterobacteriaceae
Description: partial 23S ribosomal RNA
Rfam family: Bacterial large subunit ribosomal RNA
Source: RNAcentral